This 206-nucleotide unclassified non-coding RNA is filed under the name soil metagenome. RNAcentral describes it as "partial internal transcribed spacer 1". The record is from RNAcentral.
UUGAAUACUAUUGAGCGCUGUGCUGGCCUUUCGGGGCAUGUGCACGCGUUCUUUAUUAUUAUCUAUCUCUUGUGAACCUAGUGUGGGCUUUGGAGGAGCAGUUGACCUUUUGGGUCUUCUGGGAAUCUGAAGGUCAUUUUUAUAAACAUUUAAAAAGUUAACAGAAUGUCUUCUUUACUUGACGCAAGUCGGUAAACAAACCUAUA